This 492-nucleotide ribosomal RNA is filed under the name uncultured bacterium. RNAcentral's name for it is "partial 16S ribosomal RNA". It matches the Rfam family "Bacterial small subunit ribosomal RNA", at positions 29 to 507 of the family's 1533-position model. The record is from RNAcentral.
AGUGAACGCUGGCGGUGGGCCUAACACAUGCAAGUCGAACGGCAGCGCAGUAAGAGCUUGCUCUUACGGGUGGCCAGUCGCGGAAGGGUGAGGAAUACAUCGGACUCUACUUUUUCGUAGGGGAUCACGUAGGGAGACUUACGCUCAUACCGCAUACGACCUACGGUUGAAAGCAGGGGAUCUUCUGACCUUGCGCGAUUGAAUGCGCCGAUGUCGGAUUAGCUAGUUGGCGGGGUAAAGGCCCACCAAGGCGCCGAUCCGUAGCUGGUGAGAGAGGCUGGUCAGCGACACUGGAAGUGAGACACGGUCCAGAGGCCUACGGGAGGGCGCAGUGGGGAAUAUUGGACAAUGGGCGCAAGCCUGGUCCAGCCAUACCGCGUGUGUGGAGAAGGCCCUCGGUGUGUAAAGCCCGUUUGUUGGGAAUGAAAAGCAUCAGGUUAAUACCCCGCUGUUCUGACGGUACCCAAAGAAGAAGCACCGGCUAACUUCGUG